RNAcentral lists this ribosomal RNA (447 nucleotides) under uncultured bacterium. RNAcentral describes it as "bacterial SSU rRNA". It matches the Rfam family "Bacterial small subunit ribosomal RNA", at positions 355 to 825 of the family's 1533-position model. The record is from RNAcentral.
UGGGGAAUAUUGGACAAUGGGCGAAAGCCUGAUCCAGCCAUGCCGCGUGAGUGAUGAAGGCCUUAGGGUUGUAAUGCUCUUUUGGCGGGGACGAUAAUGACGGUACCCGCAGAGUAAGCCCCGGCUAACUUCGUGCCAGCAGCCGCGGUAAUACGAAGGGGGCUAGCGUUGUUCGGAAUUACUGGGCGUAAAGCGCACGUAGGCGGAUCAGCAAGUCAGGGGUGAAAUCCCGGGGCUCAACCUCGGAACUGCCUCUGAUACUGCUAGUCUAGAGUCCGGAAGAGGUGGGUGGAAUUCCUAGUGUAGAGGUGAAAUUCGCAGAUAUUAGGAAGAACACCGGUGGCGAAGGCGGCCCACUGGUCCGGUACUGACGCUGAGGUGCGAAAGCGUGGGGAGCAAACAGGAUUAGAUACCCCAGUAGUCCCUGAGCGGGCUGGCAAGGCGCAU